AUUGAACGCUGGCGGCAUGCCUUACACAUGCAAGUCGAACGGCAGCACGGGUGCUUGCACCUGGUGGCGAGUGGCGAACGGGUGAGUAAUACAUCGGAACAUGUCCUGUAGUGGGGGAUAGCCCGGCGAAAGCCGGAUUAAUACCGCAUACGAUCUACGGAUGAAAGCGGGGGACCUUCGGGCCUCGCGCUAUAGGGUUGGCCGAUGGCUGAUUAGCUAGUUGGUGGGGUAAAGGCCUACCAAGGCGACGAUCAGUAGCUGGUCUGAGAGGACGACCAGCCACACUGGGACGGAGCCACGGCCCAGACUCCUACGGGAGGCAGCAGUGGGGAAUUUUGGACAAUGGGCGAAAGCCUGAUCCAGCAAUGCCGCGUGUGUGAAGAAGGCCUUCGGGUUGUAAAGCACUUUUGUCCGGAAAGAAAUCCUUGGCCCUAAUACGGUCGGGGGAUGACGGUACCGGAAGAAUAAGCACCGGCUAACUACGUG
Molecule: ribosomal RNA, 486 nt
Filed under: uncultured bacterium
Lineage: Bacteria
Description: partial 16S ribosomal RNA
Rfam family: Bacterial small subunit ribosomal RNA
Source: RNAcentral